CGGGGUGCACCAGGCGCGAAAACUUUACAAUGCGGGAAACCGUGAUAAGGGGACACCGAGUGCCAGCAUCCUAUGCUGGCUGUCCGGGUGUGUAAAAUACACCUGUUAGCAAGGGCCGGGCAAGACCGGUGCCAGCCGCCGCGGUAACACCGGCGGCCCGAGUGGUGAUCGUGAUUAUUGGGUCUAAAGGGUCCGUAGCCGGUUUGGUCAGUCCUCCGGGAAAUCUGACAGCUUAACUGUUAGGCUUUCGGAGGAUACUGCCAGACUUGGAACCGGGAGAGGUAAGAGGUACUACAGGGGUAGGAGUGAAAUCUUGUAAUCCCUGUGGGACCACCUGUGGCGAAGGCGUCUUACCAGAACGGGUUCGACGGUGAGGGACGAAAGCUGGGGGCACGAACCGGAUUAGAUACCCGGGUAGUCCCAGCCGUAAACGAUGCUCGCUAGGUGUCAGGCAUGGCGCGACCGUGUCUGGUGCCGCAGGGAAGCCGUGAAGCGAGCCACCUGGGAAGUACGGCCGCAAGGCUGAAACUUAAAGGAAUUGGCGGGGGAGCAC
This 553-nucleotide ribosomal RNA is filed under the name uncultured archaeon. Its description in RNAcentral is "bacterial SSU rRNA". It matches the Rfam family "Archaeal small subunit ribosomal RNA", at positions 326 to 879 of the family's 1478-position model. The record is from RNAcentral.